RNAcentral lists this non-coding RNA (28 nucleotides) under Mus musculus (house mouse). The record is from RNAcentral. Lineage: Eukaryota; Metazoa; Chordata; Mammalia; Rodentia; Muridae.
UGAAGAUAGGUGACUCAAAACAUCUGUG